RNAcentral lists this ribosomal RNA (253 nucleotides) under uncultured bacterium. RNAcentral's name for it is "partial 16S ribosomal RNA". It matches the Rfam family "Bacterial small subunit ribosomal RNA", at positions 524 to 776 of the family's 1533-position model. The record is from RNAcentral.
UACGGAGGAUGCGAGCGUUAUCCGGAUUCAUUGGGUUUAAAGGGUGCGUAGGCGGACUAUUAAGUCAGUGGUGAAAUCCUGCAGCUUAACUGCGGAACUGCCAUUGAUACUGAUAGCCUUGAGUUUGGUUAAGGCAGGCGGAAUGUGUAAUGUAGCGGUGAAAUGCUUAGAUAUUACACAGAACACCAAUUGCGUAGGCAGCUUACUGAGCCAACACUGACGCUGAGGCACGAAAGCGUGGGGAUCGAACAGG